ACAGAGGUGCCAAGCGUUAGGCGGAAUCACUGGGCUUAAAGCGUGUGUAGGCGGGACGUUAAGUGCCUUGUGAAAUCCCCCGGCUCAACCGGGGAACUGCUGGGCAUACUGGCGUCCUUGGGCCAAUCAGGGGUCGUCGGAACAAACGGUGGAGCGGUGAAAUGCGUAGAUAUCGUUUGGAACGCCGAAGGCGAAAG
RNAcentral lists this ribosomal RNA (197 nucleotides) under uncultured prokaryote. RNAcentral's name for it is "partial 16S ribosomal RNA". It matches the Rfam family "Bacterial small subunit ribosomal RNA", at positions 525 to 721 of the family's 1533-position model. The record is from RNAcentral.